RNAcentral lists this long non-coding RNA (456 nucleotides) under Papio anubis (olive baboon). Its description in RNAcentral is "lncRNA (ENSPANG00000045590.1)". Lineage: Eukaryota; Metazoa; Chordata; Mammalia; Primates; Cercopithecidae. The record is from RNAcentral.
UAAUGGAAUCAGGGGGCGGGACUUCCUCAUGCUAUUCUCAUGAUAGCAAAUAAGUCUCAUGAGAUAUUAUGAUUUCAUAAAGGGGAGUUUCCUUGCACACAUUCUCUCUUGCCUGCCAUCAUGUAAGAUGUGGUUUUUGCUCCUCUUUUGUCUUCUGCCAUGGUUGUGAGGCCUCCCCAGUCAUGUGGAACUGAAUUGGAGGCAAGGGUGAGAGAAGAACAGACAGAAAAGUCAUUCUUGAGCAUUAGAUGUCAUCACAGCAAGGCAUUUUGUGUUGUACAAUUUUAAAGAAAGUAAAACAUAAUAGCUUCUAGCAAUACACGUAUCUGAAAUAGAUAGAACAAAGUAAAUAUAGCAGGCAAAGUGCUCAAUUUAGACAAACUCAAGUUGGCUGUAAAAUAAAUUGUGAUUAUUUUCCUGAGAUAUACUGCAUUGAUAGGGACACUUUUCUUCUGC